Myotis brandtii (Brandt's bat) is the source of this 75-nucleotide non-coding RNA. The record is from Rfam. Lineage: Eukaryota; Metazoa; Chordata; Mammalia; Chiroptera; Vespertilionidae.
GGCAGUUCUAAGGUAAUGCACCCCGGAAUCGGGCUCCCUCCUCUCUGGUUCCGGGUGCAUGACCCGAGAACUGCA